UCUACGGGUGGCAGCAGUGGGGAAUAUUGGACAAUGGGCGAAAGCCUGAUCCAGCCAUGCCGCGUGUGUGAAGAAGGCCUUCGGGUUGUAAAGCACUUUCAGUGGGGAAGAAAGCCUUGGGGCUAAUACCCUAGAGGAAGGACAUCACCCACAGAAGAAGCACCGGCUAACUCCGUGCCAGCAGCCGCGGUAAUACGGAGGGUGCGAGCGUUAAUCGGAAUUACUGGGCGUAAAGCGCGCGUAGGCGGUCUGAUAAGCCGGUUGUGAAAGCCCCGGGCUCAACCUGGGAACGGCAUCCGGAACUGUCAGGCUAGAGUGCAGGAGAGGAAGGUAGAAUUCCCGGUGUAGCGGUGAAAUGCGUAGAGAUCGGGAGGAAUACCAGUGGCGAAGGCGGCCUUCUGGACUGACACUGACGCUGAGGUGCGAAAGCGUGGGUAGCAAACAGGAUUAGAUACCCCAGUAGUC
RNAcentral lists this ribosomal RNA (465 nucleotides) under Vreelandella stevensii. Its description in RNAcentral is "partial 16S ribosomal RNA". It matches the Rfam family "Bacterial small subunit ribosomal RNA", at positions 338 to 795 of the family's 1533-position model. Lineage: Bacteria; Pseudomonadati; Pseudomonadota; Gammaproteobacteria; Oceanospirillales; Halomonadaceae. The record is from RNAcentral.